UUUCUUUUUUUUUUCCCCUGCCCUUUUUAUAUUAUUUUUACUUUCCCCAACCCCUGUCAUUUAAAAAUCACAUAAUUAAUUGAGCACAUCCUGUGCCACACGGGGCUGCCACGACUUUGAAGUCCCAAUAGAUCAUCUUAUAGAGCCCUGGGUACCAUUUUUUCCGAGGCAGCACCAGGCGCCAGCGCGAGGCCUUGUGGAAUUCAGCAUAUCCUACUCCAGGGAAGUGUGGUCUGAUUUAGCAUCAUGGAGCUGGGAGCUGUUACUGAUCCUGCAGCAGCAGUGAGG
Molecule: long non-coding RNA, 288 nt
Organism: Corvus hawaiiensis (hawaiian crow)
Lineage: Eukaryota; Metazoa; Chordata; Aves; Passeriformes; Corvidae
Exons: 2
Source: RefSeq, a predicted model, not a curated record